Molecule: ribosomal RNA, 365 nt
Filed under: uncultured Latescibacterota bacterium
Lineage: Bacteria; Pseudomonadati; Candidatus Latescibacterota
Description: bacterial SSU rRNA
Rfam family: Bacterial small subunit ribosomal RNA
Source: RNAcentral
UCUUCGGAGGCACCUGCACAGGUGCUGCAUGGCUGUCGUCAGCUCGUGUCGUGAGAUGUUCGGGUUAAGUCCCGCAACGAGCGCAACCCUUAUCCCUAGUUGCCAUCAGGUAAGCUGGGAACUCUGGGGAGACUGCCGGUGAUAAACCGGAGGAAGGCGGGGAUGACGUCAAGUCCUCAUGGCCCUUACAUCCCGGGCUACACACGUGCUACAAUGGCAGGUACAGAGGGCUGCGAAGCCGCGAGGUGGAGCGAAUCCCAGAAACCUGUCCCAGUCCGGAUUGAAGUCUGCAACUCGACUUCAUGAAGGCGGAAUCGCUAGUAACCGCGAAUCAGCAGGUCGCGGUGAAUACGUUCCCGGGCCUU